Molecule: transfer RNA, 84 nt
Filed under: Spirochaetales bacterium
Lineage: Bacteria; Pseudomonadati; Spirochaetota; Spirochaetia; Spirochaetales
Also listed under: 1 other name
Description: tRNA-Leu
Rfam family: tRNA
About the family: Transfer RNA (tRNA) molecules are approximately 80 nucleotides in length.
Source: RNAcentral
GCCCGGAUGGUGAAAUUGGUAGACACGCUAGGUUCAGGGUCUAGUGCCGGUAACGGUGUGAAGGUUCAAGUCCUUUUCCGGGCA